This is a small nuclear RNA of Suricata suricatta (meerkat), 104 nucleotides long. The record is from Ensembl. NCBI's taxonomy places the organism in Eukaryota, Metazoa, Chordata, Mammalia, Carnivora, Herpestidae.
CUGCUCACUCUGGUAGCAAAUAUACUAAAAUUGGAAUGAUAUGGAUAUUAGCAUGGCCACUGUGCAAGGAUGACAGGAAAAUUCACAAAGCAUUCAUGUAUUUU